GGCUCGUUGGUCUAGGGGUAUGAUUCUCGCUUCGGGUGCGAGAGGUCCAGGCUUCAAAUCUCGGACAAGCCC
This 72-nucleotide transfer RNA is filed under the name Danionella translucida. It matches the Rfam family "tRNA". Rfam says of the family: Transfer RNA (tRNA) molecules are approximately 80 nucleotides in length. Their secondary structure includes four short double-helical elements and three loops (D, anti-codon, and T loops). RNAcentral also lists the same sequence under 1 other name. The record is from Rfam by way of RNAcentral. Lineage: Eukaryota; Metazoa; Chordata; Actinopteri; Cypriniformes; Danionidae.